AGAGUUUGAUCCUGGCUCAGGACGAACGCUGGCGGCGUGCUUAACACAUGCAAGUCGAGCGGUAAGGCCCUUCGGGGUACACGAGCGGCGAACGGGUGAGUAACACGUGGGUGAUCUGCCCUGCACUUCGGGAUAAGCCUGGGAAACUGGGUCUAAUACCGGAUAUGACCAAAGGCUGCAUGGCUUUUGGUGGAAAGGUUUACUGGUGCAGGAUGGGCCCGCGGCCUAUCAGCUUGUUGGUGGGGUAAUGGCCUACCAAGGCGACGACGGGUAGCCGACCUGAGAGGGUGACCGGCCACACUGGGACUGAGACACGGCCCAGACUCCUACGGGAGGCAGCAGUGGGGAAUAUUGCACAAUGGGCGAAAGCCUGAUGCAGCGACGCCGCGUGAGGGAUGACGGCCUUCGGGUUGUAAACCUCUUUCAGCAGGGACGAAGCGAAAGUGACGGUACCUGCAGAAGAAGCACCGGCCAACUACGUGCCAGCAGCCGCGGUAAUACGUAGGGUGCGAGCGUUGUCCGGAAUUACUGGGCGUAAAGAGUUCGUAGGCGGUUUGUCGCGUCGUCUGUGAAAACCCACCGCUCAACGGUGGGCCUGCAUGCGAUACGGGCAGACUUGAGUACUGCAGGGGAGACUGGAAUUCCUGGUGUAUCGGUGAAAUGCGCAGAUAUCAGGAGGAACACCGGUGGCGAACGCUGGUCUCUGGGCUUAACUGACGCUGAGGAACGAAAGCGUGGGUAGUAAACAGGAUUAUAUACCCUGGUAUUCCACGCCGUACACCGUGGGCGCUAUGUGUGGGUUUCCUUCCACGGGAUCUGUGCCGUAGCUAACGCAUUAAGCGCCCCGCCUGGGGAGUACGGCCGCAAGGCUAAAACUCAAAGGAAUUGACGG
RNAcentral lists this ribosomal RNA (892 nucleotides) under Rhodococcus sp. E3R2_pA. RNAcentral describes it as "bacterial SSU rRNA". It matches the Rfam family "Bacterial small subunit ribosomal RNA", at positions 8 to 916 of the family's 1533-position model. The record is from RNAcentral. Lineage: Bacteria; Bacillati; Actinomycetota; Actinomycetes; Mycobacteriales; Nocardiaceae.